This 468-nucleotide ribosomal RNA is filed under the name uncultured bacterium. RNAcentral describes it as "partial 16S ribosomal RNA". It matches the Rfam family "Bacterial small subunit ribosomal RNA", at positions 28 to 507 of the family's 1533-position model. The record is from RNAcentral.
GACGAACGCUGGCGGCGUGCUUAACACAUGCAAGUCGAACGGAAAGGCCCUGCUUUUGUGGGGUGCUCGAGUGGCGAACGGGUGAGUAACACGUGAGUAACCUGCCCUUGACUUUGGGAUAACUUCAGGAAACUGGGGCUAAUACCGGAUAGGAGCUCCUGCUGAAUGGUGGGGGUUGGAAAGGUUCGGCGGUUGGGGAUGGACUCGCGGCUUAUCAGCUUGUUGGUGGGGUAGUGGCUUACCAAGGCUUUGACGGGUAGCCGGCCUGAGAGGGUGACCGGCAACAUUGGGACUGAGAUACGGCCCAGACUCAUACGGGAGGCAGCAGUGGGGAAUAUUGCGCAAUGGGCGGAAGCCUGAUGCAGCAACGCCGCGUGCGGGAUGACGGCCUUCGGGUUGUAAACCGCUUUCGCCUGUGACGAAGCGUGAGUGACGGUAAUGGGUAAAGAAGCACCGGCUAACUACGUG